UACGAAGGGGGCUAGCGUUACUCGGAUUUACUGGGCGUAAAGGGCGCGUAGGCGGAUGGUCCAGUCAGACGUGAAAUUCCUGGGCUCAACCUGGGGGCUGCGUUUGAUACGUGCUGUCUGGAGUUCGGAAGAGGGUCGUGGAAUUCCCAGUGUAGAGGUGAAAUUCGUAGAUAUUGGGAAGAACACCGAUGGCGAAGGCAGCCAUCUGGACCGACACUGACGCUGAGGCGCGAAAGCGUGGGGAGCAAACAGG
Molecule: ribosomal RNA, 253 nt
Filed under: uncultured bacterium
Lineage: Bacteria
Description: partial 16S ribosomal RNA
Rfam family: Bacterial small subunit ribosomal RNA
Source: RNAcentral